RNAcentral lists this non-coding RNA (27 nucleotides) under Mus musculus (house mouse). The record is from RNAcentral. Lineage: Eukaryota; Metazoa; Chordata; Mammalia; Rodentia; Muridae.
UNGAGGCCUUCCGCCAGAAUCUGCUGC